Molecule: ribosomal RNA, 498 nt
Filed under: uncultured bacterium
Lineage: Bacteria
Description: partial 16S ribosomal RNA
Rfam family: Bacterial small subunit ribosomal RNA
Source: RNAcentral
AUUGAACGCUGGCGGCAUGCCUUACACAUGCAAGUCGAACGGUAACAGGUCUUCGGAUGCUGACGAGUGGCGAACGGGUGAGUAAUACAUCGGAACGUGCCUAGUAGUGGGGGAUAACUACUCGAAAGAGUGGCUAAUACCGCAUGAGAUCUACGGAUGAAAGCAGGGGAUCGCAAGACCUUGUGCUACUAGAGCGGCCGAUGGCAGAUUAGGUAGUUGGUGGGAUAAAAGCUUACCAAGCCGACGAUCUGUAGCUGGUCUGAGAGGACGAUCAGCCACACUGAGACUGAGACGCGGCCCAGACUCCUACGGGAGGAAGCAGUGGGGAAUUUUGGACAAUGGGCGAAAGCCUGAUCCAGCAAUGCCGCGUGCAGGAUGAAGGCCUUCGGGUUGUAAACUGCUUUUGUACGGAACGAAAAGCCCCGGGUUAAUACCCUGGGGUCAUGACGGUACCGUAAGAAUAAGCACCGGCUAACUACGUGCCAGCCGCCGCCGUAA